CCUACGGUGGCAGCAGUGGGGAAUAUUGGACAAUGGGCGAAAGCCUGAUCCAGCCAUGCCGCGUGUGUGAAGAAGGCCUUCGGGUUGUAAAGCACUUUCAGUGGGGAAGAAAGCCUUGGGGCUAAUACCCUCGAGGAAGGACAUCACCCACAGAAGAAGCACCGGCUAACUCCGUGCCAGCAGCCGCGGUAAUACGGAGGGUGCGAGCGUUAAUCGGAAUUACUGGGCGUAAAGCGCGCGUAGGCGGUCUGAUAAGCCGGUUGUGAAAGCCCCGGGCUCAACCUGGGAACGGCAUCCGGAACUGUCAGGCUAGAGUGCAGGAGAGGAAGGUAGAAUUCCCGGUGUAGCGGUGAAAUGCGUAGAGAUCGGGAGGAAUACCAGUGGCGAAGGCGGCCUUCUGGACUGACACUGACGCUGAGGUGCGAAAGCGUGGGUAGCAAACAGGAUUAGAUACCCCUGUAUC
Molecule: ribosomal RNA, 463 nt
Filed under: Vreelandella stevensii
Lineage: Bacteria; Pseudomonadati; Pseudomonadota; Gammaproteobacteria; Oceanospirillales; Halomonadaceae
Description: partial 16S ribosomal RNA
Rfam family: Bacterial small subunit ribosomal RNA
Source: RNAcentral